CCUACGGGGGGCUGCAGUGGGGAAUAUUGCGCAAUGGGCGAAAGCCUGACGCAGCGACGCCGCGUGAGGGAUGAAGGUCUUCGGAUCGUAAACCUCUGUCAGCAGGGAAGAACGGUCACUGUGUUAAUCAUCCGUGAAUUGACGGUACCUGCAAAGGAAGUACCGGCUAACUCCGUGCCAGCAGCCGCGGUAAUACGGAGGGUGCGAGCGUUAAUCGGAAUUACUGGGCGUAAAGCGCUCGUAGGCGGUAUGUCAAGUCACGGGUGAAAUCCCCGCGCUCAACGUGGGAACUGCCUUUGAAACUGGCAAACUGGAGUGUGUGAGAGGAGAGUGGAAUUCCAGGUGUAGGAGUGAAAUCCGUAGAUAUCUGGAGGAACAUCAGUGGCGAAGGCGACUAUCUGGGACAUAACUGACGCUGAGGAGCGAAAGCGUGGGUAGCAAACAGGAUUAGAUACCCUGGUAGUC
Molecule: ribosomal RNA, 465 nt
Filed under: uncultured bacterium
Lineage: Bacteria
Description: partial 16S ribosomal RNA
Rfam family: Bacterial small subunit ribosomal RNA
Source: RNAcentral